AACGAACGCUGGCGGCAUGCCUUACACAUGCAAGUCGAGCGGCAGCGCGGGGCAACCUGGCGGCGAGCGGCGAACGGGUGAGUAAUACAUCGGAACGUACCCAGUUGUGGGGGAUAGCCCGGCGAAAGCCGGAUUAAUACCGCAUACGACCUGAGGGUGAAAGCGGGGGAUCGCAAGACCUCGCGCGAUUGGAGCGGCCGAUAUCAGAUUAGGUAGUUGGUGGGGUAAAGGCCCACCAAGCCGACGAUCUGUAGCUGGUCUGAGAGGACGACCAGCCACACUGGAACUGAGACACGGUCCAGACUCCUACGGGAGGCAGCAGUGGGGAAUUUUGGACAAUGGGCGCAAGCCUGAUCCAGCAAUGCCGCGUGCAGGAUGAAGGCCUUCGGUUGUAAACUGCUUUUGUACGGUAACGAAACGGUACUCGCUCUAAUACAGUGGGCUAAUGACGGUACCGUAAGAAUAAGCACCGGCU
Molecule: ribosomal RNA, 475 nt
Filed under: uncultured bacterium
Lineage: Bacteria
Description: bacterial SSU rRNA
Rfam family: Bacterial small subunit ribosomal RNA
Source: RNAcentral